This 4532-nucleotide long non-coding RNA is filed under the name Panax ginseng (ginseng). RNAcentral's name for it is "long non-coding RNA (PGIN_LNC017618)". Lineage: Eukaryota; Viridiplantae; Streptophyta; Magnoliopsida; Apiales; Araliaceae. The record is from RNAcentral.
CGAACUCUCAAGUCUCAAUCUGAAUCUCUGAAUAAUCUCAUCCCAAACCGAGAAGGCCAGAAUCCAGAUCUCGAACUCGGAAUCGGAAGUCGGAACCUUGCUUCUUCUCUGAAUCUCUUUUCUCUGGUGAGUCCUCCUCCUUUUCUUAAUUUCUUCUCGUCUUCUCUUCUUUUGCUGCAACUUCUUCAAAUCCAGGUCUCGAACUCGGAAUCGGAUGUUUUGGUUUGCGUUAUUUGGUUGAUUGUGAGGUUUUGAGAUCCGGGUAUUUGUUAAUUUGAUGAAAAUUUCAAUUUUUGUUGUUGUUUAAAUUGUUUUCCAAGGAAUAAUAAAAGGGUAAUUUGUAAUAAUUUUUGUUGCCUUUGGGGAAAUAACGCAAAGUAUUCAUCCGGAAAUGUGUUUGAUUUGAUGGAAAAAAAUUGGUGUUAUUCAGCGCUCCACAAUCGAUAAGCAAGUCUGCGUAGUGCUCACCUGUAGAAAUAUAUACAACUUUAUUUGUUACAGUUCAACUUAGAUAUUACAAUGCAAUUGAAGAACGGAAGUACUUGAACAUAUUAUGACUAAUCAGCCUUAGCCCUUACAUAAGUAUUAUUAGUAGCAUCAUCUUUGGUAGUAUGAUUUUAUUUAUAUAAUAGUCUUUUCUCUGUUGUCUAUAAUAUGUGCAGUAUAAAGAUCCCAUUGAAUGUACUUGUUUACUUUCAUGGGGUGAAAUACUCUCGUCAUACUGUUGCAAUGCAAAAACAUACACACUGUGGUACUAUUUUAGGCAUUUAGCAAAAUCCCAAACAAGCAAGUUUAAGACUGUUUAUGUAUUUAGCUUGCAAAUCAACCAAAUAACACCCCUGACUGGGAUUUAGCUUAGUUGAUUGACUGGGAUUUAGCUUGGUUGAUUGGGAGGUUUUGAGAUCUGGGUAUUUGUUAAUUUGAUGAAUACUUUUGAAUAUCUACACAUUUUUUACUUUAUAUACAUAUAUAUUUAACUUACCAUUUUUUUAUAUUUAAAUUCAUGCUAUUACUUCAGGCAUCAGUUCUCUGAUCCAUCAAAACCUGAGUUCCCUUUUGAGAAUGGGAACAAAGGUGGUAGAGAUGAAGAAGUUAUAAACAUUGCUCAUAAAUCCGCUGAGCAACAAAAAAAAAUGUUUAAAUUUGCAUGAGACAAAUACUAUUUAAUGAGAUUGAAAAGUAAAAUUGUUUAAAGAGACUGCUAUUUUUUUUAAGCCUUAGUUUUUGGAAUUAUAAAUAUGCUUCAUUUCUUCACUCCCAUAAUCCCAUCAUCUCAAGUGGGUAUAAAGUUGAUGUCCCAGAUAUUCUUAGUGGUUCAUAAUCAAGUCUCUUCCUGCGUUCCACUUUGUAACAAAAUCACCUUGUUAGUUUUAUUCACGGGGCAGGUAUUGAGUCUGUGUUGUAAAUAUUCAUGUGCUUGAUUACGCUUAUUCAUACAUGCGUGUACUUUAGACAUUUUCCCAAUUACAAAUGUGAUCUUGUUGUUUAUGUUAGAAGGAAAUAAUAAAAAACAAAGCUAUGGUUGCAUUGUUGCUAAUUGCUAUGCCCCCCUUCCUCUUUUCUAUGUACGACAAGAUUUGGAUCCCAAAGUACAGUGUUAAUUAGCUAGCUGUUUGAUUUGCCAUGUGGUGGUGUUUAAUUAGCUAUAUGUUAUUUGUAUAGAUUAUUGGGUGCUUAUAAAAAUCUAUUGCUUGGAUAAUUGGUCAUUUUCUGUCAGCCCAUUAGCAGCUAUAGUUUUAGUUCUCUUGUCCUCUAAAUUUAGUGGAGCUUGCUUUUGAUUACCAUCAUAUUUUGAUUGUUACUCUGUCAUGUGAUUACCAUCAUAUUUUAUACUUGUUGAACUAAGCUCGAGCAAGCCAUUUCACCUAAUCGAGCUUGAAUUGAUCUCAUUAAGGCGAGACGAUGAUUGAGUUAAUUUGACUUGAUCUCAUUAAGGCGAGAUGAUGAUUGCGUUAAUUUUUAUUAUUGUCAUUUUCAACUUUUACUGAAAACAGACUUCAUUCAGUUUCUAUGUUUUCCUAAAAGAGCAAGCUGUAAUUUAAUUCAACUGAUAAGUUGGAUGUGGACAUGUGGUGUUUGGUAGCUGUCCCGUACAACCAUGUUUGCUGUUAGCAGUCAUCCCCUCCACUCAACUUUAUUUAUUCUUUUCACUCUCACACAUUUUAAGAAAACAUUAAGACUGGUGAAAAAGUUAUUUAUAAUCCCCAAAACAAACCUUAACUAAUAUCCAUAAUUUUCUCUUAUUUCAGAAAAGAAGAAGAAGAGGUAAAGUGGUUCUAUUUGAAUUAAUAAGAAACUUAGGAUGACAAGGUUUUGGGACUUCCUGAAAAGGAAAGGGGGAACAAAAGUAAAGUUGGGUAGCGGGAGUAUACCUUUAUCUAUUAUACUCGCAAUAUAAUCAUGUUAAAUAUAUAAAAACUUUUGCAAAACACAGAAAGGGGGGCAAUACCAAAUGUACAAUUGAUGAUCGUACACAUAUUAUGUGCUUAUAGACAGAUGGAAAUUUUUCUGAAGUAUCUUUUAGUAAAAAAGUUUAUUGUGUCUUUGAUCUAUCCUGCGACAUACUGACAGUCGAAACCAUUGGUUGUAGAAGUGUGUUAUUUACACCAAAAGAGCUAUACAGUCAUCUCCACUCACGAUACUCUUGAUUUCUGAUUCAUAUCUUUGUUCUCUGAAAACUCAAAAAAAAAGAAGAAAUAAAAAAUAGGAUAAGAAGAAGGGAAACAAGUCAAUGUAGUACCCAACUUCUACCUCUAAAAUCUUUUUUACUUUGAUUUCCUUGUACUUUUCUUUAUUUUCUACUAUACCUUUCUUGGUACUACAAGAAGUACUUAAAUUUUGAGCUCUAGUAAUUCGUAGCUCUAUUUUUCUUUAUAUGCUAGUUAUGGUAUUCAGCUUCCAAGACACUAGUUGAGAAAGCUGCCUGGGAAUUUGCCAAAGAAAAAGGUUCGGACUUGUACUGGCGUGCUGUGUUCGCAUCCACUGUCAAGAGAUAUACGAGUGAGUAAUUAAUUUUGAUUGAUCUGUGUCUUAUCGCAAACAUUUUUAUUUUGUUGAACUAUUUAGUCUGUAUAAUAUUCAUUUGUUACUGAAUCAAUAUAGCUUUCUUUCGUAAAUUUUACUAUGAAUUUGUUGCUCAAAAACUGAAUAAAAAUCCAUUUUUUUACUUAUUAAAGUAAUAUAAAGAGGAGGGUUUAAGGAAUCAACCGCAAAAGUUGGAUGCUUUGAGUGAAUAAAGAAUAGAUAAGGCGUUAGACUCUUUCUUCCUUUUAUAUGUUAGUAAAAAAAUAGUAUUAGUAGCAUUUUGUUGGAUUAAAUAUGCUAAAUAGGUGUUAUGUAUAUAUAGCUUUCUUACUUUGGUAAUAUAUAUUCAUGACUUUUAAGUCUAUAACACGUAUGGUAUGCUAUCUCUAGAUUUUUGUUUUUUCGGUCUUUGUUGGUUUGUUGUUAAAUGAACUAGAAUGAUGCUAUAAUUUUAUUUUAUUUUAUAUUUUUUUAUGUAAUUUACUGAAGGGAAUUUUCUUGAAAAUAUGAAUUAUGGCUGGAGUAUAACUUUGGUUUGGUUGAUCUUGAAAUUAUAUUCCUCUUAGCCAUUAAAUAGGGGAGAUAAAUGAUUUUUUUACUAGUCCAUUUGUAGAUUCAUUAUGUUAAUAUAGCAACAUAUUUGUCGUCUGAAGAAAAGUUUUUUCACAUUGACUAAUAGCCUCAAUUUUUUCAUAAUUAUUGUCCUUUCUAUAUAGAAAUCUAAACAUUGUUAUUUAAGAUUGUGNNNNNNNNNNNNNNNNNNNNNNNNNNNNNNNNNNNNNNNNNNNNNNNNNNNNNNNNNNNNNNNNNNNNNNNNNNNNNNNNNNNNNNNNNNNNNNNNNNNNGAGGUCAACAUAUAAUAAUAAUCUACAAGUCUUGUAACAGAAAAUAUGUUUACCACUAUGCUUACUGAAAUUAAUUCAUGAAAUGACCGAUUAUGAUUCCAAUUUUGUCUUGUAACAGAGCAAUCAUAUAGUCGCACUGAAGGUUCUUUUUCUAUUUGGAUUUGUAGCUAAUGAAAUUGUGAUUGCCUAUUUGUCUUUUUUUGCUUAUGAGCAAUAUGGUGUACAUUAGUACCACGUAGCAACUCUAUUGUCUUUGUGUAUUGAUUUUGGCACUAAGUGCCUCUGGUGACCUGUUUGCUUCAUUUUUCUGACUUGCUAUUAUUUUUAAAUAUGUGUAGGAAGACUGCUUCUACGACCUGUCUUACAAUACUGGGUAUCAAAUUUUCGUGCUACGUUUACGAAAGACGAGGGAAGAAAUUAUGAAGUGUACUCUCUCUAUAUAUGUAGAUAUAUACUUUGAUUGAAAAACUGUGGUAGCUUUAGAUAGUUAAUUGUAAAAAUAAUGAAUGAUUAUGUAGUGGAUGAUUUUAUAAAGUUAAUAAUAUUUUAAUUUUUUAUAUUUUUGCCAUUAUUUGUUAUGGGGACAUUGAGUCAGCCAUGUACAAAAAAAGAAUGUCAAAUUUUGAUUUGGCAACAAUAUAAUUUGUUACUAAAGUAUUGAAC